Molecule: non-coding RNA, 186 nt
Filed under: Pongo abelii (Sumatran orangutan)
Lineage: Eukaryota; Metazoa; Chordata; Mammalia; Primates; Hominidae
Source: RNAcentral
GAUGUUGAAAAGGAGAGACUCUAUGGAGUGUGGAUGUAGAAAAGGAGUUAUUCCUACUGGAAAAAAAUGAACUGUGGACACAGUCACUCCAGAGAAACAACCACUAUGAGUAAGUAGCUUCAAUUUCACUGUUACCAGGAGGGCACACACCAGAAAGCCUGGGACAAAGCCUGGGCUAGAGCCCUC